ACAGGGAUUGCCCUAGUAACGGCGAGUGAAGCGGCAACAGCUCAAAUUUGAAAGCUGGCUCCGGCCCGCAUUGUAAUUUGCAGAGGAUGCUUCUGGCGAGGUGCCUUCCGAGUUCCCUGGAACGGGACGCCAUAGAGGGUGAGAGCCCCGUAUGGAAGGACACCAGACCUGUGUGAAGCUCCUUCAACGAGUCGAGUAGUUUGGGAAUGCUGCUCUAAAUGGGAGGUAAAUCUCUUCUAAAGCUAAAUACCGGCCAGAGACCGAUAGCGCACAAGUAGAGUGAUCGAAAGAUGAAAAGCACCUUGAAAAGGGGGUUAAACAGUACGUGAAAUUGUUGAAAGGGAAGCGCUUGUGACCAGACUUGCGCCGGGCGGCUCAUCAGGGGUUCUCCCCUGUGCACUCCGCCCGGCUCAGGCCAGCAUCGGUUCUCGUGGGAGGAUAAGAACGGUGGGAACGUGGCCCCCCUCCGGGGGGGUGUUAUAGCCCACCGUACGAUACUCUCGUGGGGACCGAGGUUCGCGCUCCGCAAGGAUGCUGGCGUAAUGGUCAUCAGCGACCCGUCUUGAAACACGGACCAAGGAGUCGUCCAUUAGAGCGAGCGUUUGGGUGUAAAACCCGCACGCGUAAUGAAAGUGAACGCAGGUGAGAGCUUCGGCGCAUCAUCGACCGAUCCUGAUGUCUUCGGAUGGAUUUGAGUAAGAGUUUUAACGGACGGACCCGAAAGACAGUGAACUAUGCUUGUAUAGGGUGAAGCCAGAGGAAACUCUGGUGGAGGCUCGCAGCGGUUCUGACGUGCAAAUCGAUCGUCAAAUAUGAGCAUGGGGGCGAAAGACUAAUCGAACUGUCUAGUAGCUGGUUACCGCCGAAGUUUCCCUCAGGAUAGCAGUGUUGUUCUUCAGUUUUAUGAGGUAAAGCGAAUGAUUAGGGACUCGGGGGCGCUUAUUAGCCUUCAUCCAUUCUCAAACUUUAAAUAUGUAAGAAGCCCUUGUUACUUAAUUGAACGUGGGCAUUCGAAUGUACCAACACUAGUGGGCCAUUUUUGGUAAGCAGAACUGGCGAUGCGGGAUGAACCGAACGCGGGGUUAAGGCGCCAGAGUGUACGCUCAUCAGACACCACAAAAGGCGUUAGUACAUCU
This 1136-nucleotide ribosomal RNA is filed under the name Cytospora viticola. RNAcentral describes it as "partial large subunit ribosomal RNA". It matches the Rfam family "Eukaryotic large subunit ribosomal RNA", at positions 68 to 1234 of the family's 3401-position model. The record is from RNAcentral. Lineage: Eukaryota; Fungi; Ascomycota; Sordariomycetes; Diaporthales; Cytosporaceae.